UUUUAACUGUGAGUUUGCCUGUCGGCAAACGUCGUGUAUUGUAUGCCGUUUCUCACUUCGUUGCGAAACGGCGGAAAAUAAGCAAUGCUCAAAAAUUGAUAUUUUUUCCGCUUGCUUAUUUUAUAA
Treponema pedis str. T A4 is the source of this 126-nucleotide regulatory RNA element. It matches the Rfam family "TD-1 RNA". From Rfam's summary of the family: non coding RNA found in Treponema denticola The record is from Rfam. Lineage: Bacteria; Pseudomonadati; Spirochaetota; Spirochaetia; Treponematales; Treponemataceae.